GGUUCGUGUCUCCUCGGCGCUGAAGAAUCGUCCGUUGUCUGGAGGCGCCACCCUUUCUGUCGGUUGCUUCCAGGUUUUGGCAACUGCGGAUUCCGCCGCUGUAGACCCCCGGGCACAGGCGGUGCGCGGACGGCAGGCGGACCCGAGGCCGCUGGGGGAUGCGGCCCACUCCGAGGACAGCCCGGCCGCAGGAGCAGGACGCCGGGUUCGGGCCGCGGCUUCUGGCGCCCCGGCCGGCCCUCCUCGGCCUCCACGGGGCCUGGCGUUCUGCGUGCCGUCCUGGGCCUCCACCCUCUCGGCCACGCUUGCCUGGAACCUCGACUCUCCAACCAUCGCUGGGGCUGCAGGUUCUCAGAAUUCCUCCCGCUGCCACGGUGGGAUCAGAACCCUCUGGAGAGGCUGUUCAUAAAUUCAAUUUUAUGAAGACACGAAUUCUCGAAGUAAAAACUCAUCAGAAUGGAGAUCCCCUCCAGCUACAUGCUUAUGAAACAUAUCACAAAUACAGGAAUACAGAGGAGUUCCAAGAAGGGUAGAAAUAUAUAUGCUGGACUGCUGGUGUGUCUCUGCUAAUGUCAGACAAAGUGAGCGAAGGCGAAUUCAAUGCAACAAACCUUUAGGACACAUUCAUUCUGAACAUCCACUGAGAACUCGAAGAUGGAAAAGAAAUAGCCCCUGCCCUCGGGAAGUUCACAGCUCAGUGGGAAGGGUGGAAACGCGUGUAAUUAACCAGAAUUCAGGGUGGUAAGUGCCAUGUGCGCAGUGUGGAA
Long non-coding RNA from Suricata suricatta (meerkat), 767 nucleotides. RefSeq lists it as uncharacterized. Lineage: Eukaryota; Metazoa; Chordata; Mammalia; Carnivora; Herpestidae. The transcript has 4 exons. The record is from RefSeq and is a predicted model, not a curated record.